This 440-nucleotide ribosomal RNA is filed under the name uncultured bacterium. RNAcentral's name for it is "partial 16S ribosomal RNA". It matches the Rfam family "Bacterial small subunit ribosomal RNA", at positions 338 to 795 of the family's 1533-position model. The record is from RNAcentral.
CCUACGGGUGGCAGCAGUGGGGAAUCUUUCACAAUGGGGGAAACCCUGAUGCAGCGACGCCGCGUGAGUGAAGAAGUAUUUCGGUACGUAAAGCUCUAUCAGCAGGGCAGCAAAUGACGGUACCUGACUAAGAAGCCGCGGCUAACUACGUGCCAGCAGCCGCGGUAAUCCGUAGGGGGCAAGCGUUAGCCGGAUUUACUGGGGGUAAAGGGAGCGUAGACGGCAGCGCAAGUCUGAAGUGAAAUCCCAUGGCUUAACCAUGGAACUGCUUUGGAAACUGUGCAGCUGGAGUUCAGGAGAGGGAAGCGGAAUUCCUAGUGUAGCGGUGAAAUGCGUAGAUAUUAGGAGGAACACCAGUGGCGAAGGCGGCUUACUGGACUUUAACUGACGUUGAGGCUCGAAAGCGUGGGGAGCAAACAGGAUUAGAUACCCUGGUAGUC